UCGAGAAUUUCUCUCAAUGGGCGAAAGCCUGAAGGAGCGACGCCGCGUGAGGGAUGAAGGACUUCGGUCCGUAAACCUCUGUCAUUUGCGAACAAACCUUAUCCGUGAACAACGGAUAGGCUGAUUGUAGCGAAAGAGGAAGGGACGGCUAACUCUGUGCCAGCAGCCGCGGUAAUACAGAGGUCCCAAGCGUUGUUCGGAUUCACUGGGCGUAAAGGGUGCGUAGGUGGCUGGGUAAGUUUGAUGUGAAAUCUCCGGGCUCAACCCGGAAAAUGCAUUGAAUACUAUCCAGCUAGAGGUUUGGAGGGGGGACUGGAAUUCUUGGUGUAGCAGUGAAAUGCGUAGAUAUCAAGAGGAACACCAGUGGCGAAGGCGAGUCCCUGGACAAAUCCUGACACUGAGGCACGAAAGCUAGGGGAGCAAACAG
Molecule: ribosomal RNA, 427 nt
Filed under: uncultured bacterium
Lineage: Bacteria
Description: bacterial SSU rRNA
Rfam family: Bacterial small subunit ribosomal RNA
Source: RNAcentral